This is a small nucleolar RNA of Erinaceus europaeus (western European hedgehog), 76 nucleotides long. NCBI's taxonomy places the organism in Eukaryota, Metazoa, Chordata, Mammalia, Eulipotyphla, Erinaceidae. The record is from Ensembl.
GCUCAAUGAUGAAAGCCAAAUCUGAACAUCAGAAUCUCUUCAGGCUACCUGAUGCUUGAUUUAUAAAAAAUAAAUA